This is a long non-coding RNA of Zophobas morio, 484 nucleotides long. RefSeq lists it as uncharacterized. The transcript has 5 exons. Lineage: Eukaryota; Metazoa; Arthropoda; Insecta; Coleoptera; Tenebrionidae. The record is from RefSeq and is a predicted model, not a curated record.
CUUAAACUUACAGUUUAUUGCUUAAUUCACACUGUUGUAUACUGUUGCAGUAUAUAAUGACUUCAGGAAAGUUAAGGCUUAUACCUGCGGUAUUUUCCAGGUUAUCCCUAGUUACCAAGUUACUUUCUCCCCAAGAGUUCCAUCCGGUAAUUAGUAACUCGGAUUCACUAACAAAACUUCACCCCAAUUCCAUUCAUGAUAAUUUUGACAAAGUUAAAGGGUUUUUAGAAGGAUGUACUCUUAACAAUCAAACAAAUUGUCCAGAACAAGAGCCUAAGAACAUCUCUUCUGGUUCAUCAACCUGGAGCUUACGGCAGUCGUUUCAAAGACAAAUAAAAGAACUUUUUUGCUUAUCCAUCCUUAAAAAUGAUUCGCUGACUAUCGAAAAGCUCCUUGAUAGAGACUAUCUAGAGCAAGCAGUUCAAAUUUUUUCUGCUAACGAAAAGUAUUUAACUACUCUCUGUUAUAAAUUUUUUAAAGAAAG